Molecule: RNase P RNA, 378 nt
Filed under: Gammaproteobacteria bacterium
Lineage: Bacteria; Pseudomonadati; Pseudomonadota; Gammaproteobacteria
Description: RNase P RNA component class A
Rfam family: Bacterial RNase P class A
About the family: Ribonuclease P (RNase P) is a ubiquitous endoribonuclease, found in archaea, bacteria and eukarya as well as chloroplasts and mitochondria.
Source: RNAcentral
GGAGUCGGCCGGGCGGUCGCCGGCGUGGCCGCAAGGCUCAUCGCCGGAGGAAAGUCCGGGCUCCGCAGGGCAGGGUGCCAGGUAACGCCUGGGCGGCGCAAGCCGACGGAAAGUGCCACAGAAAAUAUACCGCCUGCCGCCUUCGGGCGCCCAGGUAAGGGUGAAAUGGUGCGGUAAGAGCGCACCGCGCCCGUGGUAACACGGGUGGCAGGGCAAACCCCACCCGGAGCAAGACCAAAUAGGGAUCCGAUGGUGCGGCCCGCACCGGGUCCGGGUAGGUUGCUCGAGCCGCGCGGCGACGCGCGGCCCAGAUGAAUGACCGCCGACCGGACGGUUCUCGUCCGGUUACAGAACCCGGCUUACAGGCCGGCUCCCGAC